Molecule: unclassified non-coding RNA, 856 nt
Filed under: Hevea brasiliensis (rubber tree)
Lineage: Eukaryota; Viridiplantae; Streptophyta; Magnoliopsida; Malpighiales; Euphorbiaceae
Source: RNAcentral
UGCACAGAUUUAUAUUAUCAUAAAUCUCAAAGCUUAAAACAGAAAUUCUAUUAACUUAAAAUGACCUGAAAAUCCACAAAAUCUACAACCUUCAGAGGAAGGUUACAUCAUUACCAGAACCAACAUCCGCUGGUAAAAAUAGAAAGCAAACCAGCUCCAUUACUUUCUGCGUCUUGUUCACUGACUUAAACAAGUCAAAUAAAAAAGCUAAACAGAAUUGCAGAUAAAUCCCUUUUUGCUUACAACAUGCAAUCAGUUCUUGCUGGCAACCUUCGGAAGAAAUUGAGCGGCACUGAGGGAAGCUUGUGGCGAAACCUGGGAUGUCUCAACACAUAAAAUCCAGUCAGAAGUGCAACAACUUGGAAAGGAGUAACAUAAAGAACAAUGGCUGCCACCAAACAGAAAAUCACAAACAGUGCUGUGGCCCUUGGAUCUCGCCAGCUCAGCAAAGACUGCAGUCUCUCCCCUUGAGUGGCUAAAUCUCCCACCACAGUCUGAAUCCUUCCAGCAAUACUUCUCAACCGAUCAUAUCUCAUCCUCACAAUAUCAGAAGGCCGAGAAGUUGGGAAAGUAUCAAACUCUUCAUCCAGUUCAUCAGGAUGUGCAGACUCUGCAUGUGAUAGACGAGUGUCCAUGUGAGGAGGUUGCCUUGGCCUCCAUCUAUAAUACCAAACACCAAUCAGGAACAGAUAAAGGAAGAUUGUGGGUAAGAUAAGCUCCGGAUAAAGUACUAGUAUUAUAAACAAUAUGUGAAUAAGCACCGUAGUGAUGGGGUUCCUCCAAUUACAUAUCUGAUCAAACCAUUUGCCCACUGCGAUUAUCCCACUAAAAACCCCCAUGAUUCUGAAAAAGUUAG